GACGAACGCUGGCGGCGUGCUUAACACAUGCAAGUCGAACGGAAAGGCCCUGCUUUUGUGUGGUGCUCGAGUGGCGAACGGGUGAGUAACAUGUGAGUAACCUGCCCUUGAGUUGGUGAUAACUUCAGGAAACUGGUGCUAAUACCGGAUAGGAGCUCCUGCUGCAUGGUGGGGUUUGGAAAGUUUCGGCGGUGGGGGAUGGACUCGCGGCUUAUCAGCUUGUGGGUGGGGUAGUGGCUUACCAAGGCUUUGAGGGGUAGCCGGCCUGAGUGGGUGGCCGGCCACAUUGGGACUGAGAUACGGACCAGACUCCUACGGGAGGCAGCAGUGGGGAAUAUUGCACAAUGGGGGGAAGCCUGAUGCAGCAACGCCGCGUGCGGGAUGCAGGCCUUGGGGUUGUAAACCGCUUUAGCCUGUGACGAAGCGUGAGUGACGGUAAUAGGUAAAGAAGCACCGGCUAACUACGUG
RNAcentral lists this ribosomal RNA (468 nucleotides) under uncultured bacterium. RNAcentral's name for it is "partial 16S ribosomal RNA". It matches the Rfam family "Bacterial small subunit ribosomal RNA", at positions 28 to 507 of the family's 1533-position model. The record is from RNAcentral.